AACGAACGCUGGCGGCAUGCCUAACACAUGCAAGUCGAACGAGACCUUCGGGUCUAGUGGCGCACGGGUGCGUAACGCGUGGGAACCUGCCCUUAGGUUCGGAAUAACUCCCCGAAAGGGGUGCUAAUACCGGAUAAUGUCUUCGGACCAAAGAUUUAUCGCCUUUGGAUGGGCCCGCGUUAGAUUAGCUAGUUGGUAGGGUAAAAGCCUACCAAGGCGACGAUCCAUAGCUGGUCUGAGAGGAUGAUCAGCCACACUGGGACUGAGACACGGCCCAGACUCCUACGGGAGGCAGCAGUGGGGAAUAUUGGACAAUGGGCGAAAGCCUGAUCCAGCAAUGCCGCGUGAGUGGUGAAGGCCUUAGGGUUGUAAAGCUCUUUUACCCGGGAUGAUAAUGACAGUACCGGGAGAAUAAGCUCCGGCUAACUCCGUG
This 433-nucleotide ribosomal RNA is filed under the name uncultured bacterium. RNAcentral's name for it is "partial 16S ribosomal RNA". It matches the Rfam family "Bacterial small subunit ribosomal RNA", at positions 29 to 507 of the family's 1533-position model. The record is from RNAcentral.